UACGUAGGGGGCGAGCGUUGUCCGGAAUUAUUGGGCGUAAAGCGCGCGCAGGCGGUUUUUUAAGUCGGGAGUAUAAUUCCAGGGCUUAACCCUGGGAGGCUCCGGAAACUGGGAGACUGGAGUGCAGAAGAGGAGAGUGGAAUUCCACGUGUAGCGGUGAAAUGCGUAGAGAUGUGGAGGAACACCAGUGGCGAAGGCGACUCUCUGGUCUGUGACUGACGCUGAGGCGCGAAAGCGUGGGGAGCAAACAGG
This 252-nucleotide unclassified non-coding RNA is filed under the name uncultured Caryophanales bacterium. Its description in RNAcentral is "uncultured Bacillales bacterium contains 16S-23S intergenic spacer region". It matches the Rfam family "Bacterial small subunit ribosomal RNA", at positions 524 to 776 of the family's 1533-position model. The record is from RNAcentral. Lineage: Bacteria; Bacillati; Bacillota; Bacilli; Caryophanales.